GGCUAGCGUAGCUCAAUCGGCAGAGCCCCGGUUUUGUAAACCGGAGGUUGUGGGUUCGAGUCCCACCGCUAGCUUCC
This 77-nucleotide transfer RNA is filed under the name Planctomycetaceae bacterium. RNAcentral describes it as "tRNA-Thr". It matches the Rfam family "tRNA". Rfam says of the family: Transfer RNA (tRNA) molecules are approximately 80 nucleotides in length. Their secondary structure includes four short double-helical elements and three loops (D, anti-codon, and T loops). Further hydrogen bonds mediate the characteristic L-shaped molecular structure. tRNAs have two regions of fundamental functional importance: the anti-codon, which is responsible for specific mRNA codon recognition, and the 3' end, to which the tRNAs corresponding amino acid is attached (by aminoacyl-tRNA synthetases). tRNAs cope with the degeneracy of the genetic code in two manners: having more than one tRNA (with a specific anti-codon) for a particular amino acid; and 'wobble' base-pairing, i.e. permitting non-standard base-pairing at the 3rd anti-codon position. Lineage: Bacteria; Pseudomonadati; Planctomycetota; Planctomycetia; Planctomycetales; Planctomycetaceae. The record is from RNAcentral.